UUGGAGGGCAAGUCUGGUGCCAGCAGCCGCGGUAAUUCCAGCUCCAAUAGCGUAUAUUAAAGUUGUUGCAGUUAAAAAGCUCGUAGUUGAAUUUCGGGGUCAGUAGAUUGGUCAUGCCACUGGUAUGUACUGGUCUCACUGAUUCCUCCUUCCUGAUGAGCCGUAAUGCCAUUAAUUUGGUGUUGCGAGGAAUCUGGACUGUUACUUUGAAAAAAUUAGAGUGUUUAAAGCAGGCUAACGCUUGAAUACAUUAGCAUGGAAUAAUGAAAUAGGACGUUCGAUCUUAUUUUGUUGGUUUCUAAGAUUGACGUAAUGAUUAAUAGGGAUAGUUGGGGGCAUUAGUAUUCAAUUGUCAGAGGUGAAAUUCUUGGAUUUAUUGAAGACUAACUACUGCGAAAGCAUUUGCCAAGGAUGUUUUCAUUAAUCAAGAACGAAAGUUAGGGGAUCGAAGACGAUCAGAUACCGUCGUAGUCUUAACCAUAAACUAUGCCGACUAGGGAUCGGACGAUGUUAUUUUUUGACUCGUUCGGCGCCUUACGGGAAAC
RNAcentral lists this ribosomal RNA (545 nucleotides) under uncultured Glomus. RNAcentral's name for it is "SSU rRNA". It matches the Rfam family "Eukaryotic small subunit ribosomal RNA", at positions 548 to 1098 of the family's 1831-position model. Lineage: Eukaryota; Fungi; Glomeromycota; Glomeromycetes; Glomerales; Glomeraceae. The record is from RNAcentral.